GACGAACGCUGGCGGCGUGCCUAACACAUGCAAGUCGAACGGAAAGGCCCUGCUUUUGUGGGGUGCUCGAGUGGCGAACGGGUGAGUAACACGUGAGUAACCUGCCCUUGACUUUGGGAUAACUUCAGGAAACUGGGGCUAAUACCGGAUAGGAGCUCCUGCUGCAUGGUGGGCGCUGGUAAGUUUCGGUGGUUGGGGAUGGACUCGCGGCUUAUCAGCUUGUUGGUGGGGUAGUGGCUUACCAAGGCUUUGAGGGGUAGCCGACCUGAGAGGAGGACCGGCCACAUCAGGCCUGGGAUACGGCACAGACUCGAACGGGACGCAACGGUGGAGAAGAUUGCACAGUGGGCGGAAGGCUGAUGCGGCAACGCCGCGUGGGGGAUGAGGGGCUGCGGGUUGGGAUCCACAGUCGCCUGAGACGGGACGUGAGUGACGGUAAUGGGUGAAGAAGCACCGGCUAACUACGUG
This 468-nucleotide ribosomal RNA is filed under the name uncultured bacterium. Its description in RNAcentral is "partial 16S ribosomal RNA". It matches the Rfam family "Bacterial small subunit ribosomal RNA", at positions 28 to 507 of the family's 1533-position model. The record is from RNAcentral.